This is a long non-coding RNA of Daphnia carinata, 530 nucleotides long. RefSeq lists it as uncharacterized. The transcript is spliced from 3 exons. The record is from RefSeq and is a predicted model, not a curated record. Lineage: Eukaryota; Metazoa; Arthropoda; Branchiopoda; Diplostraca; Daphniidae.
UUUCGCGUGGCAUUGGGCUGGAGGAUGGUAGUUGAAAUCAACGUCUACGUUCUAGAAAUUCCAUGAUGCAUUUCAUUUCUAACUUCUUAAAGGAGGACCUAUGGUUAUGUCAGCGGUUUUAUUUUACGUGGCAUAGAUGAGGGUGACGGAUGUAAUGCACGUUCUCAUCGUUCUCUUCACAUUUCUAGUAUUUUGAGUGUACUUGCAGGUCUCCGGGAUGUACCUAGUUUGCUGUGCUGGUUGUGAGAUCCUUUUGUGGCCGAAGGGAAUGUCGCCUGUGUUACUGCUACAAUGUAAAUAAAAUAUAAGAUUUUUUAGUAAGAUUUUUGUGUUUGGUGAAUCAUUACUUCCUUGCAACGAAUCAGAAGUUAAAGCCGAUGUUGGUUAAAUUUCAGCACAGCAGCUUCUUAAAGCUGUUUUUUUUUUUCUCUUUGCUUAGUAAUUCUAUUUGACAGUAGAUUGAAAAAGAAAGAGAAAUUCAAUGUAAAAAUUCUUAAGUCUGUUUUCUCUUCCUUUAGUAAAAAAGUAUG